This 870-nucleotide ribosomal RNA is filed under the name Firmicutes bacterium enrichment culture clone CTBE CDB1009G07. RNAcentral's name for it is "bacterial SSU rRNA". It matches the Rfam family "Bacterial small subunit ribosomal RNA", at positions 110 to 968 of the family's 1533-position model. The record is from RNAcentral. Lineage: Bacteria; Bacillati; Bacillota.
GUAACACGUAGGCAACCUGCCCACAAGACCGGGAUAACAUUCGGAAACGAAUGCUAAGACCGGAUACGCAACUUGGUCGCAUGACUGGGUUGGGAAACACGGCGCAAGCUGUGGCUUGUGGAUGGGCCUGCGGCGCAUUAGCUAGUUGGUGAGGUAACGGCCCACCAAGGCGACGAUGCGUAGCCGACCUGAGAGGGUGAACGGCCACACUGGGACUGAGACACGGCCCAGACUCCUACGGGAGGCAGCAGUAGGGAAUCUUCCACAAUGGGCGAAAGCCUGAUGGAGCAACGCCGCGUGAGUGAGGAAGGCUUUCGGGUCGUAAAGCUCUGUUGCCAGGGAAGAAUAAGGGCCAGUUAACUGCUGGUCCGAUGACGGUACCUGAGAAGAAAGCCCCGGCUAACUACGUGCCAGCAGCCGCGGUAAUACGUAGGGGGCAAGCGUUGUCCGGAAUUAUUGGGCGUAAAGCGCGCGCAGGCGGUUCUUUAAGUCUGGUGUAUAAGUGCGGGGCUCAACCCCGUGAGGCACUGGAAACUGGGGAACUUGAGUGCAGAAGAGGAGAGCGGAAUUCCACGUGUAGCGGUGAAAUGCGUANAGAUGUGGAGGAACACCAGUGGCGAAGGCGGCUCUCUGGACUGUAACUGACGCUGAAGCGCGAAAGCGUGGGGAGCAACAGGAUUAGAUACCCUGGUAGUCCACGCCGUAACGAUGAGUGCUAAGUGUUUGGGGGGAUCGGCCCCCUCNGUGCCGAAGGUUACACAUUAAGCACUCCGGCUGGGGAGUACGCUCGGCAGAGUGAAACUCAAAGGGAUUGACGGGGACCCGCCCAGCAUUGGGAAUAAGUGGGUUAUUUCAAGCCAACGCAAAGAA